UGAAGACGACAAGGUAGAUAGGACAGAGGUGGAAGUGUGGUAACACAUGCAGCUGACUGUUACUAAUAGGUCGAGGGCUUGACCUAA
Molecule: ribosomal RNA, 87 nt
Filed under: Clostridiales bacterium
Lineage: Bacteria; Bacillati; Bacillota; Clostridia; Eubacteriales
Description: partial 23S ribosomal RNA
Rfam family: Bacterial large subunit ribosomal RNA
Source: RNAcentral